Raphanus sativus (radish) is the source of this 834-nucleotide RNA transcript. RefSeq lists it as uncharacterized. The record is from RefSeq and is a predicted model, not a curated record. Lineage: Eukaryota; Viridiplantae; Streptophyta; Magnoliopsida; Brassicales; Brassicaceae. The transcript is spliced from 2 exons.
CAAUUGGUCAUUAAAAUACUCGGCGUAAACAAAACAAAAAACAAUGAUACGCAGUCGUUUAAAGUAAAAAAAAAAAGCGAAUCUGGGAAGUCUAAAACCCUAAUAGUAAAAACUCCAAAUCUAAUUUGUUAGUCACUCUCUCUCGUCGGAAGGAAGGAAGAAGAGGAAGAUCUCAAGAUGCCUCUGUACGACUGUAUGCUUCUGUUCAAGCCAAUAAUCAGGAAGGAGGGUCUGAUCGAGCUCGUUGCGCGCAUAGGGAAACACGUUACAGCAAAAAUGGCGUACUCACGGAGGUCAAAUCAUUCGGCAAGGUCGAAUUGGGUUACGGUAUUAAGAAGCUCGACGGUAGACACUAUCAGGGACAACUGAUGCAGAUAACAAUGAUGGCAACACCAAACAUGAACAAGGAGCUUCACUACCUCAACAAGGAAGACAAACUCCUGCGCUGGCUCCUUGUUAAACACCGCGACAUCAAGAUUGGAUCAUCUGAAAUGGAAGAUCGUCAGGACGAGUUCAGCAGAGUUACUAACAGGAGCUUAUAUGAGGAAUCCUCAACGGACGAAGAAGACGAUAUCCUUGGCUUAAGACGAUGAUGAGGAGACGAGGAAAUCGUUUUUUACUCAGACCAGAGUGUGUGUCCUUCAUCUUUGUCUUAUGGUUUUAUUGGCUGAUAAAUGCAAACAUGUAUUGACACGUCAUCUUUGCAUGGGCAGAGAUGUGUCUCUGUUUUUAGAAUUUUCUCAUUUUUGAUUUUAAUUAUUAAAAAUAGAGGUGAUCGUUGGUGAACAAAACACUUGUUGUCGUUGUUUCUAUUUUUUACCCUUGGUCGCUCCA